GCCUCUCACAAUGCGUCAUGGUCGAAAACCCACCCUUUCCUUUCGUUGCUACGGACUACAGAAUGUGACGCUGUUCUAUCGAGACUGUGUGCAGGUGUGAUGUGCUGCCCAAUCUCAGUGCGCUGUGCCGUCAAGGCUCCCAACUGUGUAGCAUGCUAGUUUAACGUAGCUCCGGUCGGAGCUCCAGCUGUCGUCGUCACAACUAUUAAAGACGCUAUCAUGACUUUCGUAUGUACCAUCGUGAGUAUCAUGUCAUCGGAUCACGGUUAAAAUGUUAGCCAAUCAAUGGGAAAGGCGAGAGGUCAGGGGAGGAGGCAAAUCCUGCGUAAGGAAAAGUCACGCUCUCUUUCGGCUGCAGGCGAGACACGGAGAAGAUCACACUGGAGAACAGUAAAGUGAUUAAUGCUACUUUUCGUGCUUAAGUAAUACUUAAUGGUUGUCAGACCGAUAACCUAUUCACUACUUUGCAUGCGGAAGAAUUCGGUAUCACAUAGAGAAAUUUUCAAAAUGAAUUUGUCGGAAUAGCUCAGCUAAUAGUAUUGCCUGAAAAGUUAGCAACUCGGAAGCUGGGACUGUGUUAGGCUAACUGGCUUCGUCAACCAAUGAGUUGCCUCUGAGGAACAAGACUGUGGGACUAACCGGAGGAAGACGGCCUGCUGUUUGAACUGAUACGCGAACUACAGCAUCGCGUGAGCAACUGCACACACCGAGAGCGCACGAGCAGGGCUGCAGUGACGGUGCAUGGACCCUCUCUGGGCAUGGACAUCCCCAUCAACCUUGUGAGUGAAUUUGUUUGGUUUUGUUGUGCGAUUCGCAUGAAGUGGCCAAUACAGUUUUAAGGCCUCAACGUCCCCAAGCUACGAUUCAGGCCUGCAUCAGGAACAUUGGUGUGUGUGGGGUUUAUAGAAAUUCUGGUGUGCCGGCUUAGGUAGGCUAUUGUUUUGGGCCCAUAGGUUAAAGGGUAUAACUGAAAACUGCUUGUUUUAUGCAUAUACAUGGGGUUAUAUGUAACCUGUUGAUUUAGUAAUGGUAUUGAUUUAAAAACCUCAGAAAAAGGAUACGUUAUACAUUUUACAUAUACAUUUUAGCCUGUGUUGUAUUUGCAAUUGUUUGAUAUCCAUGAGAGCAGAGUAUUUUUCUGAUUUUUUUUAAACAAAAGAUCAAACAGUUAAACAAUAAAGACAAUUUUUCACAGCCUUCUUUGCUCAUAUUUACCAACGGUGCCAAUGUCAGUGGAGGGCACUGUAUAUAAUAUUUGGUGUAAUCAGACUUUGAUAGAAUUGUGUAUUCGUUCAUGGGUGCAUGCUUGCAAAAGCAAGUGUGUGAGUUUUAAUAUCAGCUGUAGAUUGCCAUUUGUAUUACGGCUCAACCUUUAAGAAAAAUAUGUGACUAAUGACAAUGAACAGUUUACAAAUACAAAAGUAACACACAAACUCUGUACAACGGACAAAGCCCUUUUAACUGUAAUAUAAAGUUUCUACAGCUUAUUGAUGUUUUUUCUUUAGCGUUCUUUCUUUCUUGAUUAAGAAAUUACUCUAUAGGUAACAUUUAGCCCAGUGGUGCUCUUUAACACUUGCUGUGUGCUCUUUAACACUUCAUUUAAUGUGUUGCAUGAAACCGCUGACAGCAGAAUGUGCUAAAGCGGAACAGAAAUGCAGAAGGACAGAACAUCUAACCCCAGUUUGUAUAAUAUCUAAUGUCAAACUAUUUGAAAGCUUUUAGGUUAAUAUUAGCUGAAAUCCUCUUAUUGAUCAUUAUUUGCAACCACAUACCAUGG
Long non-coding RNA from Ictalurus punctatus (channel catfish), 1777 nucleotides. RefSeq lists it as uncharacterized. The record is from RefSeq and is a predicted model, not a curated record. The transcript is spliced from 3 exons. Lineage: Eukaryota; Metazoa; Chordata; Actinopteri; Siluriformes; Ictaluridae.